UCAGCUUUGGUGCAGUGAUAGCACAUCAGUCUUGCAAGCUGAAGGUCCCGAGUUUGAUCCUCGGUAAAGGAG
RNAcentral lists this transfer RNA (72 nucleotides) under Monodelphis domestica (gray short-tailed opossum). It matches the Rfam family "tRNA". From Rfam's summary of the family: Transfer RNA (tRNA) molecules are approximately 80 nucleotides in length. Their secondary structure includes four short double-helical elements and three loops (D, anti-codon, and T loops). Further hydrogen bonds mediate the characteristic L-shaped molecular structure. tRNAs have two regions of fundamental functional importance: the anti-codon, which is responsible for specific mRNA codon recognition, and the 3' end, to which the tRNAs corresponding amino acid is attached (by aminoacyl-tRNA synthetases). tRNAs cope with the degeneracy of the genetic code in two manners: having more than one tRNA (with a specific anti-codon) for a particular amino acid; and 'wobble' base-pairing, i.e. permitting non-standard base-pairing at the 3rd anti-codon position. The record is from Rfam by way of RNAcentral. Lineage: Eukaryota; Metazoa; Chordata; Mammalia; Didelphimorphia; Didelphidae.